GACGAACGCUGGCGGCGUGCUUAACACAUGCAAGUCGAGCGGUAAGGCCCUUUCGGGGGUACACGAGCGGCGAACGGGUGAGUAACACGUGGGUGACCUGCCCUUAGCUCUGGGAUAAGCCUGGGAAACUGGGUCUAAUACCGGAUAUGACUCCAUGACGCAUGUUGUGGGGUGGAAAGCCUUGUGCGGCUAGGGAUGGGCCCGCGGCCUAUCAGCUUGUUGGUGGGGUGANGGCCUACCAAGGCGACGACGGGUAGCCGGCCUGAGAGGGCGACCGGCCACACUGGGACUGAGACACGGCCCAGACUCCUACGGGAGGGCAGCAGUGGGGAAUCUUGCGCAAUGGGCGAAAGCCUGACGCAGCGACGCCGCGUGGGGAUGACGGCC
This 387-nucleotide ribosomal RNA is filed under the name uncultured bacterium. Its description in RNAcentral is "bacterial SSU rRNA". It matches the Rfam family "Bacterial small subunit ribosomal RNA", at positions 28 to 416 of the family's 1533-position model. The record is from RNAcentral.